CCAGUGCCUCAUGUUUCUGGAAACGCUGCAGCAUUUGACUUCAAUUUUAACCUGGAUAACGCCAAAGCUUUUCCUCAAAUUCGCCACAGGAGUAAGCUCACAGAUGCUCUGAUUUUGUUUAUCGUUGCUCUUCCUUAAUAUCUCUCGCACAGGUGCCGUUGACCUUUAGAUGGGCUGUACAGUGUGGGGUUUGGUGCCAUGGAUCUGCUUCUCCAGGGACCAGGAUCUUGAGAUCUUCAGGCUGGGUUUCCAUGGAGGCAUGGAGCUGCUUUUCCUCCUUCAUAACUGCACUCAAAACAGCCCUGUUGCUCUACAAUGGAGACUUGGGCAACUCCUACUGGCACAGAUUUGUUCACCUCAGGGGAAAUUCAGAUAGAAGCAAGCUGCAGGCAGUUUCACCUCUAACUCCAUGGGUUCUCAACUGGUAAUGUCCUCUUAUGGAUGUUAGGCCACGAGGUCAAUCCUGUAGCAAUCUAAGGCUGAGAAGAAUUAAUCUUCUGGAAAAUUCCAAGAAUACAUCUUAGGGAAACUGGCUCUACCUUUAUGACUUGGAUAACACAAAGAUACGCUUUUCAUGUUGGACUAGAACUCAGAGUAUUGGCCAAUGGAUGUGUUUUCUUAAACUAUCCCAGUGGGUUCACCAUACAGAUGAAGAUUCUGAGAUUCAAGACGCAAGACUGAAAAAGAUCAUUAUUUUUAUUAUUUUAGUCUGAUGCACAAAAUGGUAUCUACUGAAUAGGCAGUAGGUAGAUUAAAAAUCUACCUAUUUUUAAUAGGUAGCUUAUAUAUAUUAGCAAAAGUGAACACUUUGUCUUUUAGAUCUAUUCCAGUUUUUCAGUAGCUGUAGACUUAAGUGCUAACUUUUAGCCCAUAGGAUAAGAAGAAACCAAGCCUAAAAGUAGGCCAGCACCAGGAUUCAGGCCUCAGACUUCAAGCCAAGGGUUCAUCAUCUUCAAUCAUGCACGAAUUUUUGCAUAGCGCCAGAGGAAACUGCCUGUACUUACUGUUGUAGGUGCUUUGCUGGAUUCAGGAUGCAGACAAGGUCCACGCACUGUGGUUGGAUCAAUGACUAGAUCUUUACCUGGUCCACAGUCCUCCCCAUUCUGGCUGCAACCUCUCAUGAGGCUGAGCUCACCAUGAACCCCUGCUCUAGGCAUCUGCAUGGUGCUCUGUUUGCCCCUAUGACUGUCUGCCCCCUCUUUGACCUGUUGGCAUGUGCUUAUCCUCCAGACCUCAGUCCAAAGUUCAGUCCUGGAGCAGACACAGCCUUGUUUGCAGAGAGCCAACAUUCUAAUACGGUGUAUGGUGGGAAACAGUGAACAGAGGGAAAUAGUGCCAAUGUCAGAGAGCCACAGUGCAGUGAAGAAGAGAAGGCAAGAGGAUGUGAUGCAAAAUCACAGGACUUGGCUUCCAGACCAUUCUGCUUCCAUGAGAACAUUUUAGUUGAGAACCGGAUGGCAUGAAACUUUAUUUAAGUAUCAGAAAAUCAUUUUCUUAAGAGGUGGUAAUGGAAUCCAUGUAAUUGAAAGAAAUCAACAGAAAAAAAAAAUGAUUCAGAAGAGAGGGGACUAGCCUAAGGACCACUGUGAUACUGUGAAAUAUAUAUAGGUCUUCAUCCUGUGUCCUGGCAUACAACUCGUAAAACCCUUGGAAUAUCCAAAAGCAUGCUUUUCAUGGGCAAAUGAUUGACUGAUGUCUUCAGGAUGAAGCCAAUCACCAGAAAGAUCAAAGCAUAAUUAGAGUAUUGGGACUUUUCAGCCACAUCCCACACUCCUGACCUUUGGGGAGGAGAGACUGGCAGAAGGUUGAGUCCAUCACCAAUAGCCAGUGAUAUAAUCAGUCAUGCCUAUGUCAUGAAGCUUCCAUAAAAAUCCCAAAAGACUGGGUUUGGAGAGCUUCUGGAUAUCUGAGCACAUGGAAGUUCCUGGAAGGUGGUCGCUGGGGUGGGCAUGGAAGCAUCUCAUCCCUUCCCACAUGCCUUGCCCUAUGCAUCUCUUCAUCUGUAUCCUUUAAAAUAUCUUUUGUAAUAAACUGCUAAGCAU
This is a long non-coding RNA of Rhinopithecus roxellana (golden snub-nosed monkey), 2042 nucleotides long. RefSeq lists it as uncharacterized. The transcript has 5 exons. The record is from RefSeq and is a predicted model, not a curated record. Lineage: Eukaryota; Metazoa; Chordata; Mammalia; Primates; Cercopithecidae.